RNAcentral lists this ribosomal RNA (736 nucleotides) under Porphyrellus formosus. RNAcentral describes it as "eukaryotic LSU rRNA". The stretch from base 253 to 407 matches the Rfam family "5.8S ribosomal RNA". Lineage: Eukaryota; Fungi; Basidiomycota; Agaricomycetes; Boletales; Boletaceae. The record is from RNAcentral.
UAGAGGAAGUAAAAGUCGUAACAAGGUUUCCGUAGGUGAACCUGCGGAAGGAUCAUUAUCGAAUUCAGGUCGGAAAGGGGGGAGAGACUGUCGCCAUGAUCACCGGACGUGUGCACGUCUUCCCUCCCGAUCCACCACUGCUAUACUGCAACACACCCGUGCACCCUUUGUAGGUCCUCGACAGAGGAUCUAUGUCUUCGUUCAUUCUCCACGUCGUAUGUCYCAUGAAAUAAAUCAUAACAUUUUGUAUACAACUUUCAGCGACGGAUCUCUUGGCUCUCGCAUCGAUGAAGAACGCAGCGAAUCGCGAUAUGUAAUGUGAAUUGCAGAUAUUCAGUGAAUCAUCGAAUCUUUGAACGCACCUUGCGCUCCUUGGUAUUCCGAGGAGCAUGCCUGUUUGAGUGUCAUUGAAUUCUCAACCGUGUGUCUUGAUGACUCGAGAUGCAUGGCUUGGACUUUGAGGGCUGCCGGCCCUGUUUGUUUGUUUGCGCUGGCAAACAUUCUCGAAGGGGUCGGCUCUCUUGAAAUGCAUUAGUGGAUCGACGUGCAGCGGGAACAGUACGGUCUGAGACACGCCCGUCUGGUCUGGUCGACGUGAUGAUGAUCGUCGUCCGGGUCUGGGCCUGAUCGGGGCCUUGUCCCCUCGCCACGCCAGUUUGCUUCCAACCAACACCCCCCCUUGACAUCUUGACCUCAAAUCAGGUAGGACUACCCGCUGAACUUAAGCAUAUCAAUA